This 252-nucleotide ribosomal RNA is filed under the name Pneumocystis jirovecii. Its description in RNAcentral is "partial large subunit ribosomal RNA". It matches the Rfam family "Bacterial large subunit ribosomal RNA", at positions 821 to 1066 of the family's 2925-position model. The record is from RNAcentral. Lineage: Eukaryota; Fungi; Ascomycota; Pneumocystomycetes; Pneumocystales; Pneumocystaceae.
GUGAAAUACAAAUCGGACUAGGAUAUAGCUGGUUUUCUGCGAAAAUUGUUUUGGCAAAUUGUUUAUUCCUCUAAAAAAUAGUAGGUAUAGCACUGAAUAUCUCGAGGGAGUAUGAAAAUAUUUAUCUCAGAUAUUUAAUCUCAAAAUAACUAUUUCUUAAAAUAAAUAAUCAGACUAUGUGCGAUAAGGUAGAUAGUCGAAAGGGAAACAGCCCAGAACAGUAAUUAAAGCUCCCCAAUUAAUAUUAAGUGA